AUGGCCGGCGCAAGAUCGGCGGCAACCAGGCUCACACACUCUUCGCUAUUCCUACUGUCUCGCGCCGCCGCAGCGGCAGCGACCCGCCAUCCCAAUCUCCCCUCCCCCCCGAGAGAUUAUUCAAAGAUGGCUAGUUCAGUUGGAGGCAAUGGCUACAGUGAUGUUACACGGGUGCUAUUCUGUGGCCACUAUUGGCCUGCUUCUACUAUUUAUACGAAGGAGUACUUGCAAAACUAUCCAUUUAUUCAGGUUGACGAAGUAGGUCUUGAGCACGUACCCGAUGUUAUUCAAAACUACCAUAUAUGUGUAGUGAAAAAUAAAUGUAUAGAUUCAGAUAUCAUUGCCAAAGCAACUAAGAUGAAGAUUAUUAUGCAGUAUGGUGUUGGUUUAGAAGGUGUUGACAUAAAUGCUGCUACAGAACAGAAAAUCAAAGUUGCACGGAUACCUGGGAGUACUACAGGAAAUGCAAUUGCUUGCGCAGAAAUGGCUAUCUAUCUAACUCUAGGUGUUCUGCGGAAGCAAAAGGAAAUGGAUACUGCUGUCAUUCAGAAGGACUUGGGCCUUCCAGUUGGAGAAACAAUAUUCGGGAAAACAAUACUUAUCCUGGGGUUCGGAGCCAUUGGCAUGGAAAUUGCCAAGAGACUAAGACCAUUUGGAGUGAAAAUUCUUGCUACAAAAAGAAACUGGUCAUCAUAUACAGUGUCUUGUGAUCUUGAUGGGCUGGUUGACAAGAAAGGUGGUCCAGAAGAUAUGUACGAACUCGCUAGAGAAGCUGACAUAGUUAUAACUUGCAUGACGUUAAACAAUGAAUCAGUUGGGAUUGUGGAUCACAAGUUCCUGUCAGCUUUGAAAAAGGGAUCAUAUCUCAUCAAUAUUGCCAGAGGACGCCUACUGGACUAUACGGCUGUGUUUAAUCACCUUGAGUCAGGUCAUUUAGGUGGUUUGGGCAUUGAUGUUGCUUGGACGGAGCCAUUCGAUCCAGAGGAUCCAAUUCUGAAAUUCCCAAAUGUUAUUAUAACACCACAUGUUGCAGGAAUCACAGAAUACUCUUACAGAACCAUGGCAAAGGUUGUUGGUGAUGUCGCUCUCAAGCUUCAUGCAGGAGAGCCAUUCACCGAAAUAGAAUUUGUGAACUAG
This 1137-nucleotide ribosomal RNA is filed under the name Triticum aestivum (bread wheat). RNAcentral describes it as "partial small subunit ribosomal RNA". The record is from RNAcentral. Lineage: Eukaryota; Viridiplantae; Streptophyta; Magnoliopsida; Poales; Poaceae.